This 212-nucleotide long non-coding RNA is filed under the name Arachis ipaensis. RNAcentral describes it as "long non-coding RNA (AIPA_LNC002274)". Lineage: Eukaryota; Viridiplantae; Streptophyta; Magnoliopsida; Fabales; Fabaceae. The record is from RNAcentral.
CCCUCACUAUAUUGGUCGAUUGUUGGUGGGCUAUAGUACGCCCCAAUCACCGUACCAGAUAUUGCAUUUACCGUGAACAAGUAUCAUAAUUUAUGCAAGCACCCACCAAGCAGCAUUGGAAAGCAGGAAAGUGCAUUUUGCGUUACUUGGUUGGUACUAUAGAGCUGGAGCUUGAAGAGCACAAGAAGAAGGAUCUUCAGGUGCUGGCCUUU